CAUGAGCGGACCAAGCAUAUUGAGGUCGAUUGUCUUCGUACUAAGCUGACUAAUGGGCCGAUUUCUCUCUCUCAUGUCUCCACUUCUCACCAGUUGGCUGAUGUCCUCACCAAGCCUUUGCCUGGACUGUUCAUCAUCAUCUUUUGGCCAAGUUGAAGGUGGUCUUCCCCUCCAACUUGAGGGGGGGAGUGUUGAGCUAAUGGACUACCUAGCAUCUAAGCCUAAACACAUACAUUGAUUUUGUGCUGUAUUUUUAUUGUAUAUUGUAUAUCAUUUGGGCUACAUUUUCAUUUUGGGCCUGUACCAACUUUUAGCCCAUUCAUUUUUAUUUGGCUGACCCAAUGUAGAAGGG
Molecule: long non-coding RNA, 352 nt
Filed under: Nicotiana benthamiana
Lineage: Eukaryota; Viridiplantae; Streptophyta; Magnoliopsida; Solanales; Solanaceae
Description: long non-coding RNA (NBEN_LNC034537)
Source: RNAcentral